This is a long non-coding RNA of Rhinichthys klamathensis goyatoka, 800 nucleotides long. RefSeq lists it as uncharacterized. The record is from RefSeq and is a predicted model, not a curated record. The transcript is spliced from 7 exons. Lineage: Eukaryota; Metazoa; Chordata; Actinopteri; Cypriniformes; Leuciscidae.
UAAUUAAGAAAAGCAGUUUUUGCAGUGCACUUUCGUAAAUCAUAAUCAAUCAAGUCAUAUUUUGACUUUGAAUCUCAAUUAUGACUUUUUGAUCUCAUACUGAAGAUCUAUUGUCAUAAUUUCUAUUUUUUAUGACCAUUUUUCCAUCUUCUGAUUCCGCCGUUAGCUCAGGUCUCUGUGUGCUGCAGUGUGUGUGUGUUCAGGUGUGUGUGUGUGUGUGAGUGUGUGUGUGUGUGUUCAGCUGCUGAUCUUGGUGAACAUCUUGUUGAUGGCCUGCUUGACGUGUGUGUGUGUGUGUGUGUGUGUGUGUGUGAGUGUGUGUGUGUGUGUUCAGCUGCUGAUCUUGGUGAGCAUCUUGUUGAUGGCCUGCUUGACGUGUGUGUGUGUGUGUGUGAGUGUGUUCAGGUGUGUGUGUGUGUGUGUGUGUGUGUGUGUGAGUGUGUUCAGGUGUGUGUGUGUGUGUGUGUGUGUGUGUGUGUGUGUGUGUGUGUUCAGCUGCUGAUCUUGGUGAGCAUCUUGUUGAUGGCCUGCUUGACGUGUGUGAGUGUGUUCAGGUGUGUGUGAGUGUGUGUGAGUGUGUUCAGGUGUGUGUGUGUGUGUGUGUGUGUGUGUGUGUUCAGCUGCUGAUCUUGGUGAGCAUCUUGUUGAUGGCCUGCUUGACGUGUGUGAGUGUGUUCAGGUGUGUGUGUGUGAGUGUGUUCAGGUGUGUGUGUGUGUGUGUGUGUGUGUUCAGCUGCUGAUCUUGGUGAGCAUCUUGUUGAUGGCCUGCUUGACGUGUGUGGUGGAGCUGCGUCUGCGGG